ACAGGAAAAAGCCGCCCGUAUGAUUCAAUUACCUUCCACCAGGUGCCUCCCACUGUAACACUUGCUGUCUAGGGCUUUGGAGGUCAUUGGUACUCCCCGCUAGAUGCUUCCGUGGGGCUCACAGAGUUUUGUUCCAGCUGACACCCAAAAGCGCUCACCUGCGUGCCCCUUCCCGGGAAGGGUUGAGCGCCCACAGGUUCCAGUGAGUGGAGUUUGCCCCUGCCAAUGCUGAAGCAGCUGGCUAGCUCCAGUGCCUGCACUGCAGUUCCCACCCACCAAGGGGUCAGGGGAAUUUCCUGCUUCAGUAUAUUCCUCAAGUCUGAGAUUUACUUACUUUUAUAAGUGCCUAAUUUGUAAGACAAAGCUCUCUUUCAACAAAGCAUCAGCAUUCUCCGAGUUGAUAGAUGGCUUACCUAAGUCUGUCUUUUUUUUUUAAUUUUUAUUUUACUGCUUUGAACUUGAGUGUUCAUAUUACCUCCUCAACACUCAUAAUUAUUUAUAAUUGCCAUUUUUACAGUACUGCUCAAGUACUACACUAUUUUUAUAGCCCAGUAUGGACCCUUAGAUCUUUACUCCAACCAAAUUCACAACAUGUGGGGGGUCUUAGAACUUCGGAUGUUUUAUUACGCUAAGAGUUCUCACUCCUUCACUUAUCACCAUAAAUAGCCAGAGGACAAUUCUGUACUGGAAACCCAUUAUGAGAAUCUGCCUUCUAGGAAUCCACUUCUAAUACCACUUGUCUUUGUUUUGAUUUACCCAAAAUCAACCUUGAGAUGGGAAUUCAAGUAUCAGUGGUUUAUUGGAAGGUGAUAUGGAUGGUGACAUUGCAAUGAUCUUUCCUCUUGCUUACUUCAAUGAACUUGAAAAUAUGGUUGCAUUUUAAAAGGCCUGUGCUACCUUUAUGAGCUGUAGCACUCACUGCAGAGGUCUGCGGCUUCACUCCUGAAGUCAAGUCGGGGAGACCAUGAAACCACCGGAAGGAAGAAACCCCGGACACAUCUGAACAUGUGAAGGAACAAACUCCUGACACAACAUCUUUACGAACUGUAACGCUCACCGUGAGGGUCUGCGGCUUCAUUCUUGAAGUCAGCGAGACCGAGAACCCACUGGAAGGAACCAAUUCCAGACACAUUAUCACUAAUUAAACCUAUGUCUGUACCUUCUAGCAUUAUAUAUAAAAAGUGCAACAUAGAAAACAAAAUUUAAAUCCACAACUAUUUAAUAUUCACAACUUCUGGAUUUAUCUCAUGUUGCAAACUAUUUUUGUUACCCUAUUCUUUGAGAAAUAUAAAACAUCAGUAUUUCAUUGGUGAAAUGUUCUUUAUAGUAGUUUAAAUAAUAAUUGCAUACAAUCACGUGCUAUAUGUAUACUCUCCUGCAAUAAAGAAUGGCAUGAGCAUAAUUACAAGAAUUAAUGACCUUGCAUUAGUGUAGCUGUAAAUCAAGCAAAAUCUGCAAAUUAUUUUAAUUGCAGCAUCCAGUUAAAAUAUUUUGGUCAAUGAGCCUUUACAAAUUGUAUUAAAAUGCGUAAAAAUAAUUUUGCUGUGCUAUAUAUUAUGCUAACACACAUUUAUGAUGGGAGACUUUCAAAUACAAUCUUUCCUUUUUUUCUAAUAGAA
Molecule: long non-coding RNA, 1619 nt
Organism: Homo sapiens (human)
Lineage: Eukaryota; Metazoa; Chordata; Mammalia; Primates; Hominidae
Product: long intergenic non-protein coding RNA 2146
Source: Ensembl